GAGUGGCUUACCUGCAAGUCGAGCGGGGAAAGGUAGCUUGCUACCUGACCUAGCGGCGGACGGGUGAGUAAUGCUUAGGAAUCUGCCUAUUAGUGGGGGACAACAUUCCGAAAGGAAUGCUAAUACCGCAUACGCCCUACGGGGGAAAGCAGGGGAUCUUCGGACCUUGCGCUAAUAGAUGAGCCUAAGUCAGAUUAGCUAGUUGGUGGGGUAAAGGCCUACCAAGGCGACGAUCUGUAGCGGGUCUGAGAGGAUGAUCCGCCACACUGGGACUGAGACACGGCCCAGACUCCUACGGGAGGCAGCAGUGGGGAAUAUUGGACAAUGGGCGAAAGCCUGAUCCAGCCAUGCCGCGUGUGUGAAGAAGGCCUUUUGGUUGUAAAGCACUUUAAGCGAGGAGGAGGCUACUUAGAUUAAUACUCUAGGAUAGUGGACGUUACUCGCAGAAUAAGCACCGGCUAACUCUGUGCCAGCAGCCGCGGUAAUACAGAGGGUGCGAGCGUUAAUCGGAUUUACUGGGCGUAAAGCGUGCGUAGGCGGCUUUUUAAGUCGGAUGUGAAAUCCCUGAGCUUAACUUAGGAAUUGCAUUCGAUACUGGGAAGCUAGAGUAUGGGAGAGGAUGGUAGAAUUCCAGUGUAGCGGUGAAAUGCGUAGAGAUCUGGAGGAAUACCGAUGGCGAAGGCAGCCAUCUGGCCUAAUACUGACGCUGAGGUACGAAAGCAUGGGGAGCAACAGGAUUAGAUACCCUGGUAGUCCAUGCCGUAAACGAUGUCUACUAGCCGUUGGGGCCUUUGAGGCUUUAGUGGCGCAGCUAACGCGAUAAGUAGACCGCCUGGGGAGUACGGUCGCAAGACUAAAACUCAAAUGAAUUGACGGGGGCCCGCACAAGCGGUGGAGCAUGUGGUUUAAUUGGAUGCAACGCGAAGAACCUUACCUGGUCUUGACAUAGUAAGAACUUUCCAGAGAUGGAUUGGUGCCUUCGGGAACUUACAUACAGGUGUUUGCUAUGGCUUUUUCAGCUCGUGUCGUGAGAUGUUGGGUUAAGUCCCGCAACGAGCGCAACCCUUUUCCUUAUUUGCCAGCGGGUUAAGCCGGGAACUUUAAGGAUACUGCCAGUGACAAACUGGAGGAAGGCGGGGACGACGUCAAGUCAUCAUGGCCCUUACGACCAGGGCUACACACGUGCUACAAUGGUCGGUACAAAGGGUUGCUACCUAGCGAUAGGAUGCUAAUCUCAAAAAGCCGAUCGUAGUCCGGAUUGGAGUCUGCAACUCGACUCCAUGAAGUCGGAAUCGCUAGUAAUCGCGGAUCAGAAUGCCGCGGUGAAUACGUUCCCGGGCCUUGUACACACCGCCCGUCACACCAUGGGAAUUUGUUGCACCAGAAGUAGGUAGUCUAACCGCAAGGAGGACGCUUUACUCU
RNAcentral lists this ribosomal RNA (1422 nucleotides) under bacterium 28S533. Its description in RNAcentral is "bacterial SSU rRNA". It matches the Rfam family "Bacterial small subunit ribosomal RNA". The record is from RNAcentral.